AAAAAAACAAAAAAACGAAAAGAGCGCGUGCUUGGCUUUGGUCGGCGCCCAAGGUGUGCUGACACUGGAAAAACUGGAGUGAUCGGAAAGAAUGAAACGAGCUGCGUGGUCUUGGACUGCUUCUAUUGCAUUGGUGAGAAAUGAAAGUUUCCAGGAGGACACAAUGCCAUUAGAUCAACGUGGUCGUAAACUUGCUUCAGAGGAGGGUCUCCUUGAGCGCAUCCCUUCCAAGAAGGCACACUCACUGCAACCAGAGACAAUGUCAUCAUCAUCAGCUACCUUCCUGCUUUUGGGUGACAAACUGUUUUCAAAAGGUAUGAAAAUAUUAUCUGCAUUGUUAGAUUAAAAAAAAAUCCUUGUUUUGUUAAUUAACUUUUUCCUGACCACGAAAUAAGUAGCAAUUUUCAAAGGAUCUGGGCAAACACUUUUAUUUUCCUGACUUGCUUAUGAAUAGGGUUUGGCAUUUUCGGUUUUUUUUUUUUUUUUUAAUGCUGCAUACUUUUUUUUGUUUUUGUUUUGAAAGCACAUUUUCA
Ixodes scapularis (black-legged tick) is the source of this 533-nucleotide long non-coding RNA. RefSeq lists it as uncharacterized. NCBI's taxonomy places the organism in Eukaryota, Metazoa, Arthropoda, Arachnida, Ixodida, Ixodidae. The record is from RefSeq and is a predicted model, not a curated record. The transcript is spliced from 3 exons.